Homo sapiens (human) is the source of this 1477-nucleotide long non-coding RNA. Ensembl annotates it as TNS2 antisense RNA 1. Its record names the gene TNS2-AS1. The record is from Ensembl. Lineage: Eukaryota; Metazoa; Chordata; Mammalia; Primates; Hominidae.
GUGGUUGGAAGGGAGGCUGGGAGCCCGGCCGCCGCGGAGGAGGGUGCCUGGUACUGGAUAGGAACUUCAUGGAAUGGAGCUAAUGGGCCGUAGGGCAGGUUUGAGUCGUGCCACCCUGGAGCAGAAGGUGGAGGGUAGGGAUAAGGGGGUGGAGCACCUGAUUCCAAUCUUGCCACAGGGAAGAAGAGUCUGUGAAGAAGGUGGAGAGAAACUAGGAGAAAAGCACAGGAUGUAGAGGUCUAUUCGGCAUAAUCUUCUCCCUCAUUUUCAUCUUCACCAUCAACAGAGAGAGCAGCAUACUUGCUUGCAGAACUGAACUUCUGUAACACAACGAGAGUGACAGGAUAAUGAAGGCCCUGAAUUAUCACAUCAAAACCCAAGACACAGGAUACUGAUCCUUUGGCAAUGGGGGAUGACAGUCAGAUGACACCCACUUGCUUGCUCAUCAGCAUUGUCCAUUGGAGAGGAGCUAGGGAAGAGGGUCAGAGGCACAUGCGAUCUUACUAUAGUCUCAUACCACCUCUACACCUUGCAGAAGGGAUGAGAACAAAGGAAGACAGAAACCAGGAAAAAGCUAAACUUCUUUCGCUAUUUCAGUAAAGACCAAUGUCUUAUUUCCAAACACUUUGUAUUCCAAAUGGAAAGAAGUCCAACGGCAAAAAGUUUAGAAUACUAAGAAUUUUUAAUUCUUAGUAAGAAUACUUAGAAUUCUAAGAAUUUUUCUUAGAAUGAAAAAUUGGGAGCAGCCUUCAACACUUACGGAAGCUGGAUUUUCCUCAGGUUUCUUUGGCUCAGGUGCAGAUCUGGAGUCUUGAUCCUUUUUGCCAUCUUUCCUGCAGAGACGUAAGCAUAAAACCAUGUCUUUAGGAAAGGACUCGCCUAAUACAAACAUGUGUAUGCAUGCAGUUUCAAGGCACUGAACAGGCACCUCUAGUCAACAGUCCUUGUUGUCUGGAUGAUGUAUUACUUCUAGAUUUUCAGAAUCUUAACUGUCUACGUUGGCUGACUUUAGUUUGCUCACAAUGAGCGAUCUGGCAGUGCUCUGAGAACCAAGAACUUAAUUUCUUAAUUACACAAACAUGUGGAUCAGAGGAAAGAUGAGAAAGAGAACAAGCAUACCUAUCUGACUCCUUCCAGUGGUCUCUGUUCCCUCCGUCGCCUGGACCACGGCUAGAGUUCCCAGUUUGGCCUUUUGGGGCAUUCAUCCCAUCUACUUUAUUUUCAUCUGCUUGGGCAGUAAUGUAAACAAAUUAAAGGCAAGUAAAAGUAUCAAUGUCCCUCUCCUAAGAUUUCCCUUAAGCUGAAGAAAAUUGUGCCCACAUGUACUGAGGGAAACUAACCUCACCCCAACCCAGACUUCCUUCCUGAAGCCCUUCUUUCCACAUCCUCUACAGCACACAAAAAUACAAAAAACAAACAAAAUCCACUAAAAAGUUCCAUGUAGGGAUAUGCCAUCAUGAAAAGCAAGCUGGAAAUA